RNAcentral lists this ribosomal RNA (478 nucleotides) under uncultured Planctomycetales bacterium. Its description in RNAcentral is "bacterial SSU rRNA". It matches the Rfam family "Bacterial small subunit ribosomal RNA", at positions 365 to 833 of the family's 1533-position model. Lineage: Bacteria; Pseudomonadati; Planctomycetota; Planctomycetia; Planctomycetales. The record is from RNAcentral.
UUCGCAAUGCCCGAAAGGGUGACGAAGCGACGCCGCGUGUGGGAAGAAGGCCUUCGGGUUGUAAACCACUGUCGGGAGUUAAGAAAUGCAAGGAUAUGAAUAGUGUCUUUGCUUGACUAAGGCUCCGGAGGAAGCCACGGCUAACUCUGUGCCAGCAGCCGCGGUAAUACAGAGGCGGCAAGCGUUGUUCGGAAUUAUUGGGCGUAAAGAGCACGUAGGCGGCUAUGUAAGUCGGUUGUGAAAGCCUUCCGCUCAACGGAAGAACAGCAUCCGAUACUACAUGGCUUGAGUGCGGGAGGGGAGAGUGGAACUUCUGGUGGAGCGGUGAAAUGCGUAGAUAUCAGAAGGAACGCCGGCGGCGAAAGCGGCUCUCUGGCCCAUAACUGACGCUGAGUGUGCGAAAGCUAGGGGAGCAAACGGGAUUAGAUACCCCGGUAGUCCUAGCCGUAAACGAUGGGCACUAAGUAGAGGGGUUUUA